Mastomys coucha (southern multimammate mouse) is the source of this 213-nucleotide long non-coding RNA. RefSeq lists it as uncharacterized. The record is from RefSeq and is a predicted model, not a curated record. Lineage: Eukaryota; Metazoa; Chordata; Mammalia; Rodentia; Muridae. The transcript has 3 exons.
CCACAGUGCGUCACAGAGCUGAGCCCCUCAGCCUCGCCUGUGGGGCAGAGGCUAAAGAAGCAAGAACAGUUUGUGUACAUGUAAAGGCUCAGCUCCCUGACAUGACAGAGGAUAAUAGCUUCAAAGGAAAUUGAGGAAGAGAUAAUCGGCUGGGCCCCACAGCCUGGAGGGUGGCCAGAAGAAAGACCUCCCCACCCCACUCGACUCCACCAC